GAAUUUUUCGCAAUGGGCGCAAGCCUGACGAAGCAACGCCGCGUGGAGGAUGAAGGCCCUAGCGGUCGUAAACUCCUGUCUAGCGGGACGAAACUCUUGCGAGCGAAUAGUUCGCGAGAUUGACUGUAACGCUGGAGGAAGCCCCGGCCAACCCCGUCCCAGCAGCCGCGGUAAUACGGAGGGAGCAAGCGUUACUCGGAAUUACUGGGCGUAAAGGGCGCGUAGGCGUCUUUUCAAGUCAGUUGUGAAAGCCCAGGGCUUAACCUUGGAAGUGCAACUGAUACUGAAAGGAUUGAGUUCCGGAGAGGAAGAUGGAAUUCCCGGUGUAGCGGUGAAAUGCGUAGAUAUCGGGAGGAACGCCAGCGGCGAAGGCGAUCUUCUGGACGGAUACUGACGCUGAGGCGCGAAAGCUAGGGGAGCAAACAGG
This 427-nucleotide ribosomal RNA is filed under the name uncultured bacterium. Its description in RNAcentral is "bacterial SSU rRNA". It matches the Rfam family "Bacterial small subunit ribosomal RNA", at positions 359 to 776 of the family's 1533-position model. The record is from RNAcentral.